Molecule: long non-coding RNA, 337 nt
Filed under: Micromonas commoda
Lineage: Eukaryota; Viridiplantae; Chlorophyta; Mamiellophyceae; Mamiellales; Mamiellaceae
Description: long non-coding RNA (MCOM_LNC000118)
Source: RNAcentral
AGGCAGGGCGUCCUCACCGCCCAGCGCGUGUUCCUCCUGAUGUCCCCCAAGACCCAGGGCAUGCGCGGCCACGGUCGCCGCAAGGGUGAGCGCCGUCGCAAGGCUUGCCGCGGUUGCAUCAUCUCCCCGGACAUCGCCGUCCUCAACCUCAUGAUUGUGAAGCAGGGCGACGCGGCGCUCCCCGGCCUCACCGACGAGGAGAAGCCCCGCAUGCGCGGUCCCAAGCGCGCGUCCAAGAUCCGCAAGCUCUUCGCGCUCUCCAAGGAUGACGACGUUCGCAAGUACGUCAACACCUACCGCCGCGAGUUCGAGUCCGCGACUGGCAAGAAGAAGUCCA